RNAcentral lists this ribosomal RNA (447 nucleotides) under uncultured soil bacterium. Its description in RNAcentral is "bacterial SSU rRNA". It matches the Rfam family "Bacterial small subunit ribosomal RNA", at positions 26 to 518 of the family's 1533-position model. The record is from RNAcentral.
AGAACGAACGCUGGCGGCAGGCUUAACACAUGCAAGUCGAACGGUUGUAGCAAUACAGCAGUGGCAGACGGGUGAGUAACACGUGGGAACCUUCCUAGGGGUACGGAACAACUCAGGGAAACUUGAGCUAAUACCGUAUACGUCCGUAAGGAGAAAGAUUCAUCGCCCCUAGACGGGCCCGCGUAGGAUUAGGUAGUUGGUGAGGUAACGGCUCACCAAGCCUACGAUCCUUAGCUGAUCUGAGAGGAUGAUCAGCCACACUGGGACUGAGACACGGCCCAGACUCCUACGGGAGGCAGCAGUGGGGAAUCUUGGACAAUGGGCGCAAGCCUGAUCCAGCCAUGCCGCGUGAGUGAAGAAGGCCUUCGGGUUGUAAAGCUCUUUUACCAGGGACGAUAAUGACGGUACCUGGAGAAUAGGCCCCGCAAACUUCGUGCCAGCAGCCGC